This 253-nucleotide ribosomal RNA is filed under the name uncultured bacterium. Its description in RNAcentral is "partial 16S ribosomal RNA". It matches the Rfam family "Bacterial small subunit ribosomal RNA", at positions 524 to 776 of the family's 1533-position model. The record is from RNAcentral.
UACGUAGGGACCAAGCGUUGUUCGGAUUUACUGGGCGUAAAGGGCGCGUAGGCGGCGCGGUAAGUCACUUGUGAAAUCUCUGAGCUUAACUCAGAACGGCCAAGUGAUACUGCAGUGCUAGAGUGUGGAAGGGGCAAUCGGAAUUCUUGGUGUAGCGGUGAAAUGCGUAGAUAUCAAGAGGAACACCGGUGGCGAAAGCGGCUUACUGGGUCUCUUCUGACGCUGAGGUGCGAAAGCGUGGGGAGCAAACAGG